GAGCCAGGCUGCAAGGGCGGCCCCUCUGCACCCACUGCCCCCAGCAUAAACAUCAAAGAAUCCCUGAAAAGUCAGGAGGAGCCAGGCUGCAAGGGCAGCCUCUCUGCAUCCACUGCCCCCAGCAUGAACAUUGAAGAAUUCCUGAAAAGUCAGGAAGAGCCAGGCUGCAAGGGCGGCCCCUCUGCACCCACUGCCCCUAGCAUAAACAUCGAAGAAUUCCUGAAAAGUCAGGAAUAUCUCUGUCAUCUGUGUUAUGUUUCUAUUUCAUUUUCAGCCUGUGUAUAGCAGAAUGUAUAAGCAUAAAAUUCCAUUAUAGAUUUAGGGACCUUUGGACGGGGGGCGUCCUACUCAUAAUCCCCUGGUGAAAUCUCGGGUAGGGACAGCCCGUGUGUUACUUGGGGAUCAACAUGAAGUUGUCUUAGGGGAAAAACAAAUAGCUCGACUAUGGAAAACAAGAAUAGGAUGGUGAAAUCCUGGUAUUUACCGAGGCCCUUUUGUGAUUAAACCACCACCCACACAUGAUCCCAUAAAAGUGGAAAAACAAAAGGCAGUGAGUUCUCUCAGCCAAUUUCUCAGCCAAUUACAGGUCAACCUUCUCGUCUACCCCGCUCACUGCUGUGCUUGACUGGUCUUUGGGUAUAGAGAUUGGGCUAAUUGUCCUUGGCAUAAUCGUGGACAAUAUGACGUAACCCAAAGUGGCUGGACUUCAAGAACUUGACCACCCUGGACAAGAUGGACAAAGCCUAUGUGGCAAUGGUUUUGCAAAAAGAUUAAUUGUUAUAAAAACUGUGGAAGGUAUUGCAAGAUUAAGCAUAAGUGUAAAGCAGUGUGAAGUCAAUUGUUACUCUAAAUCAACUAAACAAAAGCUCAUUGUAUUUGUGUGUGUAUGCGGAACUGUACUAUGUGUCACUUGGAAAAUUAUGUCUCUGGGAAAUAAUGUUUAUGAUUAUAUCUUGUACUGCCCCUUUAUUGAUCAUGCGAUGUUAUGCUUUUGUAAGCUUAUGAUAUAAAAGACCAUGUAAAAAAUAAAGAGCAGAGCCUUCUUCUUCUGCAGAAUGAAAAUAUAAGACACUCUACCGCUCGUUCUUUUUUCGCCGAACUCUACCCCUCCUCUGGUAACCCUGUUCAUUGCUGAGGCUGGCCCCCGGCAACUGGCGCCCGAACAGGGACCUGAAGACAAGGUGCGGUGGAGAAGCCGGAGACAUACUCCCUAUUCAAGAACCCAUCAAACCAUUGUGGCUGAGCCCCCAACUUGGGGCCAACUCAAAAAACUUACUCAUCUGGCUCACACCUUAACCGUGGAUCAACAUAUUCCCGUAAAUGCGGAUACUCUUUUUGUGGCUAUGCUCGCUAUCAUUUCCUGCCAGGUAUGUGUUGUUACGGCUGAUAUACAUUGGGCUUAUGUCCCAAAACCUCCUAUAUUUCAUCCCGUCUCCUGGGAAGAUCCUUCCCCCUCUGUAUUUACUAAUAAUUCUGCAUUACUGGGGGGCGAAACCAUAUUUUGGAACCCUCAAGGCUUUAAUUCUAAUUAUUCCUAUUCUGGUAUAUCAGAUAAUCCUCCUAUUUGUAUUCAAUUAAGAAAUUUGCGAAAAACUAUCCCUGGCUGUAUUCCUUUUGGCUUCAAAUCAAUGAUUACUGACUCACCUAAUGGAAAUCAAAACCAACAGCCUUACAGACUAUUAUGGGCUCUACGCCUCAUCCUUCCAGAAAAAACUGACUUUCUUAAAGGUAUCCCAAAAGUACACACUCCUCUUUUUCCUACCUGUGAUAAGUCGCCUCCUGAGGAUUCUAAGAGUAAUCAAGAUUGGGCUAUGAUUGACCCUUCAAAAGGAUUUCCUAUUUGGAGAAAUUGUAUGUAUAAUUCACAAGUUGUAUAUGCUUUGCCUAAAAUGUCUGCACGUCUUAUUGAUUGUAGUAUUUUAAAUCCUGAAGAUGAUUAUCGUCUAUUUUUACAAUCAGCUCGAUAUCGUUUUAAUUGGCAAGAUACCUUAGUCCCUCUCCCACAAAAAGUUAAUCGUUGGCAUAUAAAUGGAUGGGUUCCCCCUAUUCUUUCUACCUUCACGGGUAACAUACAUCCAUCUUUGUGGAGACUGGCAACUGCUGCCGGCAAUGUCACUUUGUCCCGUCCUUUUAAUAAUGAGAGUUUUGAUAUUCAAGCUUGUGUACCUGCUCCAUAUGUGUUAUUAAUUAGCCGCAACAAUCACUCUAGUAUUGUUAUAGAAAACAAGAAAACACAUUAUGUUAGUUCUUGUGAAAAUUGUAUACUGACCAGUUGUAUAAAUCCUGCAGUUCCUGUCGAAAGUAUGAUGAUUUUACAACAGCCAAAAUAUAUUAUGAUUCCUGUACAUUUACAAGAAGAUUGGUAUGAUGAUUCAGGCCUAGAAGCCUUAAAACAAGCUUCUGCUAUUUUAUCUCGAGCCAAACGGUUUGUAGCAGCUUUAAUACUGGGGAUUUCCGCUCUCAUAGCUUUAGCAACUUCUCUUUCACUUUCUGCUAUGGCGUUAACACAACAGAUUCAUACUGCAAACUAUGUAAAUAAUUUAAGUAAAAAUAUUACUCUAGCCUUAGCCACACAAGAAGCCAUUGAUAGAAAAUUACAACAAGAAGUUAAUGCCCUUGAAGAAGCAAUUCUAUAUAUAGGACAAGAAAUCACUAAUCUCAAAGUGCGACUUACUUUGAGAUGCCAUGUAAGUUUCAAAUGGAUUUGUGUUACUCCACUGCCUGUAAAUACUACCAUACAUAAUUGGAAAAAAAUCAAAAAUCAUAUCCAGGGCAUAUGAAAUCAUUCCGAUUUGAGUUUUAAUAUUGACAAAUUACAUAUGGAAAUACAAGAUAUUACAAAAGCAGAAAAAGAUUUUUCCUCUUCUCAAACAGCCAAACAAUUUAUUGAUUCCUUAAAUUCCUUUAUUCAAAAGCAUAGUCUUAAAAACAUUCUGUUAAACACGGGUAUUUCUUUAGGUUUAUUCUUGAUUUUGUUGUUCUUUCUUCCAGUCAUCUUCCGAAUCUUAAAUCAAGCUAUCCAAAAGGUGGCUUCAGAUCUUCAUCUAGCGAAAUUAAAAAAUAAAAAAGGGGGAGAUGCUGGGAGCCAGGCUGCAAGGGCGGCCCCUCUGCACCCACUGCCCCCAGCAUAAACAUCAAAGAAUCCCUGAAAAGUCAGGAGGAGCCAGGCUGCAAGGGCAGCCUCUCUGCAUCCACUGCCCCCAGCAUGAACAUUGAAGAAUUCCUGAAAAGUCAGGAAGAGCCAGGCUGCAAGGGCGGCCCCUCUGCACCCACUGCCCCUAGCAUAAACAUCGAAGAAUUCCUGAAAAGUCAGGAAUAUCUCUGUCAUCUGUGUUAUGUUUCUAUUUCAUUUUCAGCCUGUGUAUAGCAGAAUGUAUAAGCAUAAAAUUCCAUUAUAGAUUUAGGGACCUUUGGACGGGGGGCGUCCUACUCAUAAUCCCCUGGUGAAAUCUCGGGUAGGGACAGCCCGUGUGUUACUUGGGGAUCAACAUGAAGUUGUCUUAGGGGAAAAACAAAUAGCUCGACUAUGGAAAACAAGAAUAGGAUGGUGAAAUCCUGGUAUUUACCGAGGCCCUUUUGUGAUUAAACCACCACC
This is a long non-coding RNA of Loxodonta africana (African savanna elephant), 3595 nucleotides long. RefSeq lists it as uncharacterized. The transcript is spliced from 2 exons. The record is from RefSeq and is a predicted model, not a curated record. Lineage: Eukaryota; Metazoa; Chordata; Mammalia; Proboscidea; Elephantidae.